RNAcentral lists this ribosomal RNA (455 nucleotides) under uncultured bacterium. Its description in RNAcentral is "bacterial SSU rRNA". It matches the Rfam family "Bacterial small subunit ribosomal RNA", at positions 340 to 787 of the family's 1533-position model. The record is from RNAcentral.
UACGGAAGGCAGCAGUGGGGAAUAUUGCACAAUGGGCGCAAGCCUGAUGCAGCCAUGCCGCGUGUAUGAAGAAGGCCUUCGGGUUGUAAAGUACUUUCAGUCGUGAGGAAGGUGUUAAGGUUAAUAACCUUAGCAAUUGACGUUAGCGACAGAAGAAGCACCGGCUAACUCCGUGCCAGCAGCCGCGGUAAUACGGAGGGUGCGAGCGUUAAUCGGAAUUACUGGGCGUAAAGGGCACGCAGGCGGUUAAUUAAGUUGGAUGUGAAAUCCCCGGGCUUAAACCUGGGAAUGGCAUUCAAGACUGGUUAGCUAGAGUCUUGUAGAGGGGGUAGAAUUCCAUGUGUAGCGGUGAAAUGCGUAGAGAUGUGGAGGAAUACCGGUGGCGAAGGCGGCCCCUGGACAAAGACUGACGCUCAUGUGCGAAAGCGUGGGGAGCAAACAGGGAUUAGAUAACC